CGAUCUCUCUCCCAACGCCUAAGAAACACUAACAAAGGUAAGAUGAUAGUAUAUGGUGAUUUUUGCCUCUUUCUGUAAUUUUAGCUUGAUUUAUCAAAAUCGAUAUGUUUCUAAGAAAGAAGACGAAGUUUUUCAAGUGAAGUUUUCAGAUCUCAAAUUUAUAAGAUCUUAUAAAUUGUGUCCUUUCAAAUCUUACUGUUGAUCUUUUAGCAAUCAAAAGACACAAAGCUUAACGUAAGAGUACAAUUAUUGAUUUGGUUGAUUUAUUGUCAUAGUUUUCAGAUUUAUAUAAUUAUUUAAUUCAUGAGAAGGUACUAACCUAAGAGUAUAAUUAUUCCAUGAUUACUUCUUCUCUUGGUUGAUUUGGUGAUGUUGCAGAGAAUUACAAAUGUGUGUUGUCAGCUUUUGGAUUUAAAGGAUGUUGUGGAGAAGAUGUGUGGUGAUAUGCAUAUCUAAGUAUCUCACUUCCUUAAGAAGCAGUGGAGAUGAAGGAUGAGUUUGUUGAGUUACGAAAGCAUACUAUUUUUGAAUCUUAUUUUUGGAAGUGAAUGCUGAUGCGUAGAAAUAAUAUGUGACUGGCUUUUGUUUAGAUUUUGAAAAUUUACGAGGUUGGUGAGCUGUUUGAAGAGGCAAGAGAGACUCUGAAGAAGAAUGUGGUUUGUGCUAUCAAAGAAUUACGUAUUUAUAACGCUUUAUAAAAGUUGCAGAGUUGGCUUCUUAGUACAUUCUUCUCUCUCAUCUUCUUUAGACAUCUCUUAUACUAAAACAAUUGUAUCUCUCUUUUAGUAGUUGCAUAGUUGAAGAUAUUAGUUGGACAUGUAAGUGAGUUUGGUUUCAAUUGUUUCUUUUAUAGAAGAGUGAGAUAUGGAGAAGCCUUGAUGUUCUCAGACUAUGUUAAAGCAAUAUAUCCCUUGUUGAAGGA
Long non-coding RNA from Brassica napus (rape), 922 nucleotides. RefSeq lists it as uncharacterized. The transcript has 2 exons. NCBI's taxonomy places the organism in Eukaryota, Viridiplantae, Streptophyta, Magnoliopsida, Brassicales, Brassicaceae. The record is from RefSeq and is a predicted model, not a curated record.